Pimephales promelas (fathead minnow) is the source of this 322-nucleotide non-coding RNA. The record is from RefSeq and is a predicted model, not a curated record. NCBI's taxonomy places the organism in Eukaryota, Metazoa, Chordata, Actinopteri, Cypriniformes, Leuciscidae.
ACACCGAGCGAUCUUCAAAGAGAACUUCACUUUUCAUCGAGCGAGGGAAAUAAACUAAGAUCAAUGGUCAGCUUUGUCAUUGACACAACAGAGUGGCAGCUGACAGACCUUGUUGAAAGAUUUCAAGAGGAGGGGACUGAUGAGGAGAGUUUUCUUCUUUUAGAAGAGGCAACCAUCAACAGUUGAUCCCAAGAGCUGGCCCUGGGCUGAAGUUCUUCAAAAAAUUAGAGGACUUGUAAGAUCAACAUUAGAGGCACACACAGUUAUUAUUUCUAAAUAUUAAAAGGAAUAGUUUACUUUGAAAUUAAUUUUCGAUAUGUUU